This 73-nucleotide transfer RNA is filed under the name Danio rerio (zebrafish). It matches the Rfam family "tRNA". From Rfam's summary of the family: Transfer RNA (tRNA) molecules are approximately 80 nucleotides in length. The record is from Rfam by way of RNAcentral. Lineage: Eukaryota; Metazoa; Chordata; Actinopteri; Cypriniformes; Danionidae.
GCCUGGCUAGCUCAGUCGGUAGCGCAUGAGACUCUUAAUGUCAGGGUCGUGGGUUCGAGCCCCACGUUGGGCA